RNAcentral lists this ribosomal RNA (440 nucleotides) under uncultured bacterium. RNAcentral describes it as "partial 16S ribosomal RNA". It matches the Rfam family "Bacterial small subunit ribosomal RNA", at positions 338 to 795 of the family's 1533-position model. The record is from RNAcentral.
CCUACGGGUGGCAGCAGUGGGGGAUAUUGCACAAUGGGGGGAACCCUGAUGCAGCGACGCCGCGUGGGUGAAGAAGCGCCUCGGCGCGUAAAGCCCUGUCAGCAGGGAAGAAAAUGACGGUACCUGAAGAAGAAGCCCCGGCUAACUACGUGCCAGCAGCCGCGGUAAUACGUAGGGGGCAAGCGUUAUCCGGAUUUACUGGGUGUAAAGGGGGCGCAGACGGCGAUGCAAGCCAGGAGUGAAAGGCAGGGGCUUAACCCCUGAACUGCUUUGGAAACUGCCAUGCUAGAGUGCUGGAGAGGUAAGUGGAAUUCCUAGUGUAGCGGUGAAAUGCGUAGAUAUUAGGAGGAACACCAGUGGCGAAGGCGGCUUACUGGACAGUAACUGACGUUGAGGCUCGAAAGCGUGGGGAGCAAACAGGAUUAGAUACCCCUGUAGUC